GAUGAACGCUGGCGGCGUGCCUAAUACAUGCAAGUCGAGCGAACAGACGAGGAGCUUGCUCCUCUGACGUUAGCGGCGGACGGGUGAGUAACACGUGGAUAACCUACCUAUAAGACUGGGAUAACUUCGGGAAACCGGAGCUAAUACCGGAUAAUAUAUUGAACCGCAUGGUUCAAUAGUGAAAGACGGUUUUGCUGUCACUUAUAGAUGGAUCCGCGCCGCAUUAGCUAGUUGGUAAGGUAACGGCUUACCAAGGCAACGAUGCGUAGCCGACCUGAGAGGGUGAUCGGCCACACUGGAACUGAGACACGGCCCAGACUCCUACGGGAGGCAGCAGUAGGGAAUCUUCCGCAAUGGGCGAAAGCCUGACGGAGCAACGCCGCGUGAGGGAUGAAGGUCUUCGGAUCGUAAAACUCUGUUAUUAGGGAAGAACAAAUGUGUAAGUAACUAUGCACGUCUUGACGGUACCUAAUCAGAAAGCCACGGCUAACUACGUG
Molecule: ribosomal RNA, 497 nt
Filed under: uncultured bacterium
Lineage: Bacteria
Description: partial 16S ribosomal RNA
Rfam family: Bacterial small subunit ribosomal RNA
Source: RNAcentral